Molecule: ribosomal RNA, 409 nt
Filed under: Citrobacter freundii
Lineage: Bacteria; Pseudomonadati; Pseudomonadota; Gammaproteobacteria; Enterobacterales; Enterobacteriaceae
Description: bacterial SSU rRNA
Rfam family: Bacterial small subunit ribosomal RNA
Source: RNAcentral
GGUGGGGUAACGGCUCACCUAGGCGACGAUCCCUAGCUGGUCUGAGAGGAUGACCAGCCACACUGGAACUGAGACACGGUCCAAACUCCUACGGGAGGCAGCAGUGGGGAAUAUUGCACAAUGGGCGCAAGCCUGAUGCAGCCAUGCCGCGUGUAUGAAGAAGGCCUUCGGGUUGUAAAGUACUUUCAGCGAGGAGGAAGGUGUUGUGGUUAAUAACCGCAGCAAUUGACGUUACUCGCAGAAGAAGCACCGGCUAACUCCGUGCCAGCAGCCGCGGUAAUACGGAGGGUGCAAGCGUUAAUCGGAAUUACUGGGCGUAAAGCGCACGCAGGCGGUCUGUCAAGUCGGAUGUGAAAUCCCCGGGCUCAACCUGGGAACUGCAUCCGAAACUGGCAGGCUAGAGUCUUGU